RNAcentral lists this ribosomal RNA (778 nucleotides) under uncultured Neocallimastigales. RNAcentral describes it as "partial large subunit ribosomal RNA". It matches the Rfam family "Eukaryotic large subunit ribosomal RNA", at positions 25 to 634 of the family's 3401-position model. The record is from RNAcentral. Lineage: Eukaryota; Fungi; Neocallimastigomycota; Neocallimastigomycetes; Neocallimastigales.
ACACUGACGUCGCGACGCAUAUCAAUAAGCGGAGGAAAAGAAACUAACAAGGAUUCCCUUAGUAACGGCGAGUGAAGCGGGAAGAGCUCAAAUUUGAAAUCUUCAAGGUUCUACCUUGACGAAUUGUAGUUUAAAGAAGUGUUUUCUGUUAGUAGGAGUAGUAAAAGUUCUUUGGAAUAGGACAUCAUAGAGGGUGAGAAUCCCGUAUUUGACCAGUUCUUUUCUAGCUGUGUGAUACACUUUCAAAGAGUCGGAUUGUUUGGGAAUGCAGUCCAAAAUGGGUGGUAAAUUUCAUCUAAAGCUAAAUAUUGGCGAGAGACCGAUAGCGAACAAGUACCGUGAGGGAAAGAUGAAAAGAACUUUGAAAAGAGAGUUAAACAGUACGUGAAAUUGUCAAAAGGGAAGCGUUUGACACCAGUGUUGUUUUUUCCGAAAAUCAAUUAUAAAUGUUUUGUUUCUGAGGAGUGAUGACUUCAUCGGCUUCCUUCUCUCUUCACGAAACUUUUGUAAUGCACUUUUCGGUUAACAAGUCAACAUCAAUUUCUUUUGUUGUAAGAGAGUAUUCGGAAGGUGGCUUUCUUUUCGGAGAAAGUGUUUAUAGCCCUAUACUUCUACAAUCGGAGAGAUUGAGGUCUGCAGCGUAGAUCCCUCGGGGUUAGAUACACUUGUGCUAAGUUAUAGCUUUUCAUAGACAACUUGUUGACUAUGUUUAGUCUUGUAGCUUACUCGCUUGUGCUAUUUUACCUACGCUUAGGAUGUUGAGUCGUAGAGCACGCAG